RNAcentral lists this ribosomal RNA (1343 nucleotides) under uncultured bacterium. RNAcentral describes it as "16S ribosomal RNA". It matches the Rfam family "Bacterial small subunit ribosomal RNA", at positions 28 to 1378 of the family's 1533-position model. The record is from RNAcentral.
GACGAACGCUGGCGGCGUGCUUAACACAUGCUAGUCGAACGGAAAGGCCCUGCUUUUGUGGGGUGCUCGAGUGGCGAACGGGUGAGUAACACGUGAGUAACCUGCCCUUGACUUUGGGAUAACUUCAGGAAACUGGGGCUAAUACCGGAUAGGAGCUCCUGCUGCAUGGUGGGGGUUGGAAAGUUUCGGCGGUUGGGGAUGGACUCGCGGCUUAUCAGCUUGUUGGUGGGGUAGUGGCUUACCAAGGCUUUGACGGGUAGCCGGCCUGAGAGGGUGACCGGCCACAUUGGGACUGAGAUACGGCCCAGACUCCUACGGGAGGCAGCAGUGGGGAAUAUUGCACAAUGGGCGGAAGCCUGAUGCAGCAACGCCGCGUGCGGGAUGACGGCCUUCGGGUUGUAAACCGCUUUCGCCUGUGACGAAGCGUGAGUGACGGUAAUGGGUAAAGAAGCACCGGCUAACUACGUGCCAGCAGCCGCGGUGAUACGUAGGGUGCGAGCGUUGUCCGGAUUUAUUGGGCGUAAAGGGCUCGUAGGUGGUUGAUCGCGUCGGAAGUGUAAUCUUGGGGCUUAACCCUGAGCGUGCUUUCGAUACGGGUUGACUUGAGGAAGGUAGGGGAGAAUGGAAUUCCUGGUGGAGCGGUGGAAUGCGCAGAUACCAGGAGGAACACCAGUGGCGAAGGCGGUUCUCUGGGCCUUUCCUGACGCUGAGGAGCGAAAGCGUGGGGAGCGAACAGGCUUAGAUACCCUGGUAGUCCACGCUGUAAACGGUGGGUACUAGGUGUGGGGUCCAUUCCACGGGUUCCGUGCCGUAGCUAACGCUUUAAGUACCCCGCCUGGGGAGUACGGCCGCAAGGCUAAAACUCAAAGGAAUUGACGGGGCCCCGCACAAGCGGCGGAGCAUGCGGAUUAAUUCGAUGCAACGCGUAGAACCUUACCUGGGUUUGACAUGGAUCGGGAGUGCUCAGAGAUGGGUGUGCCUCUUUUGGGGUCGGUUCACAGGUGGUGCAUGCCUGUCGUCAGCUCGUGUCGUGAGAUGUUGGGUUAAGUCCCGCAACGAGCGCAACCCUUGUUCACUGUUGCCAGCACGUUAUGGUGGGGACUCAGUGGAGACCGCCGGGGUCAACUCGGAGGAAGGUGGGGAUGACGUCAAGUCAUCAUGCCCCUUAUGUCCAGGGCUUCACGCAUGCUACAAUGGCUGGUACAGAGAGUGGCGAGCCUGUGAGGGUGAGCGAAUCUCGGAAAGCCGGUCUCAGUUCGGAUUGGGGUCCGCAACUCGACCUCAUGAAGUCGGAGUCGCUAGUAAUCGCAGAUCAGCAACGCUGCGGUGAAUACGUUCCCGGG